UAGUAGUAGUAGUAGUAGUAGCAGCGGUAGUGGUAGUAGCAGUAGUAGUUGCAGUAGUAGUAGUAGUAGUAGCAGCAGUAGUAGUAGUAGCAGCAGUGGUAGUAGUAGUAGUAGUAGUAGCAGCAGUGGUAGUAGUGGUAGCAGCAGUGGUAGUAGUAGUAGUAGUAGUAGUAGUAGCAGCGGUAGUAGUAGCAGUGGUAGUAGUAUUAGUGGUAGCAGUAGUAGUAGUAGUAGUAGUAGCAGCGGUAGUUGUAGUUGUUCUUGUUGUUGUAGUAGUAGUAGAAGUAGCAGCAGUAGUGGUAGUAGCAACAGUGGUGGUAGUAGUAGUGGUAGCAGUAGUAGUAGUAGUGGUAGCAGUAGUAGUAGUAGUAGUAGCAGCGGUAGUUGUAGUUGUAGUAGCAGCGGUGGCGGUAGUAGUAGUAGCAGCAGUGGUGGUAGUAGUAGUAGCAGCGGUAGUGGUAGCAGCAGUAGUAGUAAUAGUAGCAGCAGUGGUAGUAGUAGCAGCAGCGGUAGUAAUAGUAGCAGCAGUGGUAGUAGUAGCAGCAGUAGUAGUAAUAGUAGCAGCAGUGGUAGUAGUAGCAGCAGUAGUAGUAAUAUUAGCAGCAGUGGUAGUAGUAGCAGCAGUAGUAGUAAUAGUAGCAGCAGUAGUAGUAGUAGUAGCAGCAGUAGUAGUAAUAUUAGCAGCAGUGGUAGUAGUAGCAGCAGUAGUAGUAAUAGUAGCAGCAGUAGUAGUAAUAGUAGCAGCAGUGGUAGUAGUAGCAGCAGUAGUAGUAAUAUUAGCAGCAGUGGUAGUAGUAGCAGCAGUAGUAGUAAUAGUAGCAGCAGUGGUAGUAGUAGCAGCAGUA
Molecule: long non-coding RNA, 845 nt
Organism: Oncorhynchus keta (chum salmon)
Lineage: Eukaryota; Metazoa; Chordata; Actinopteri; Salmoniformes; Salmonidae
Exons: 3
Source: RefSeq, a predicted model, not a curated record